CCGAAAGUUUCUGGUAACUAUCGAUUUGGUGGAAACGAGAGACAUAUCAAUCCACUUUGCGAACAACACAAUUCGAAACCCUACAAUUCUUUUUUUUUGAUAUUUUUCUUUUACUUAGGAGCACUCAAGAAGUAACCACAGGAAAUUUGAGCUUAAACAAGUGAAAUACGUGGCCUGUGGAAUUUUAUGAAGAUUGUGAAAAAUAUGAAAAAAAUUUUAGGAGGUGAAAACUCAAACUUCAGAGGCGAAUUUGGGGAUCCAAAAAUUGUUGAACCCGCCUUUGGCAGGGAUAGACAGAUCCAAAAAUUUUUUC
Molecule: long non-coding RNA, 313 nt
Filed under: Sorghum bicolor (sorghum)
Lineage: Eukaryota; Viridiplantae; Streptophyta; Magnoliopsida; Poales; Poaceae
Description: long non-coding RNA (SBIC_LNC010552)
Source: RNAcentral